GACGAACGCUGGCGGCGUGCUUAACACAUGCAAGUCGAACGGAAAGGCCCUGCUUUUGUGGGGUGCUCGAGUGGCGACCGGGUGAGUAACACGUGAGUAACCUGCCCUUGACUUUGGGAUAACUUCAGGAAACUGGGGCUAAUACCGGAUAGGAGCUCCUGCUGCAUGGUGGGGGCUGGAAAGUUUCGGCGGUUGGGGAUGGACUCGCGGCUUAUCAGCUUGUUGGUGGGGUAGUGGCUUACCAAGGCUUUGACGGGUCGCCGGCCUGAGAGGGUGACCGGCCACAUUGGGACUGGGAUACGGCCCAGACUCGUACGGGAGGCAGCAGUGGAGAGUAUUGCACAAUGGGCGGAGGGCAGAUGCAGCAACGCCGCGUGCGGGAUGACGGCCUGCGGGUUGUAAACCGCUUUCGCCUGUGACGAAGCGUGAGUGACGGUAAUGGGUAAAGAAGCACCGGCUAACUACGUG
RNAcentral lists this ribosomal RNA (468 nucleotides) under uncultured bacterium. Its description in RNAcentral is "partial 16S ribosomal RNA". It matches the Rfam family "Bacterial small subunit ribosomal RNA", at positions 28 to 507 of the family's 1533-position model. The record is from RNAcentral.